This 21-nucleotide non-coding RNA is filed under the name Xenopus tropicalis (tropical clawed frog). RNAcentral also lists the same sequence under 2 other names. Lineage: Eukaryota; Metazoa; Chordata; Amphibia; Anura; Pipidae. The record is from RNAcentral.
UAGCAGCACAUCAUGAUUUGU